CCUACGGGAGGCAGCAGUGGGGAAUUUUGGACAAUGGGCGCAAGCCUGAUCCAGCAAUGCCGCGUGAGUGAAGAAGGCCUUCGGGUUGUAAAGCUCUUUUGUCAGGGAAGAAACGGCAGUUUCUAAUACAGAUUGCUAAUGACGGUACCUGAAGAAUAAGCACCGGCUAACUACGUGCCAGCAGCCGCGGUAAUACGUAGGGUGCAAGCGUUAAUCGGAAUUACUGGGCGUAAAGCGUGCGCAGGCGGUUUUGUAAGUUUGUCGUGAAAUCCCCGGGCUCAACCUGGGAAUGGCGAUGAAGACUGCAAGGCUAGAAUCUGGCAGAGGGGGGUAGAAUUCCACGUGUAGCAGUGAAAUGCGUAGAGAUGUGGAGGAACACCGAUGGCGAAGGCAGCCCCCUGGGUCAAGAUUGACGCUCAUGCACGAAAGCGUGGGGAGCAAACAGGAUUAGAUACCCUGGUAGUCCACGCCCUAAACGAUGUCUACUAGUUGUCGGGUUUUAAUAACUUGGUAACGCAGCUAACGCGUGAAGUAGACCGCCUGGGGAUACGGUCGCAAGNUUAAAACNCAAAUGAAUUGACGG
RNAcentral lists this ribosomal RNA (583 nucleotides) under uncultured bacterium. Its description in RNAcentral is "bacterial SSU rRNA". It matches the Rfam family "Bacterial small subunit ribosomal RNA", at positions 338 to 916 of the family's 1533-position model. The record is from RNAcentral.